This 1077-nucleotide long non-coding RNA is filed under the name Heterocephalus glaber (naked mole-rat). Its description in RNAcentral is "lncRNA (ENSHGLG00000038881.1)". Lineage: Eukaryota; Metazoa; Chordata; Mammalia; Rodentia; Bathyergidae. The record is from RNAcentral.
GCCGGCCAAGGCGCCCAGGCCAGUGCAGUUCAGACAGGCACUCGGCCGACUUUCCCCUCCGCCGAGCUCUGUGGAGUUGCCCUGGAAAUGAGGCACAACUGGAGCCGAUCUCUGGCUUUUGUUCCAUUGCAACUCCUUUCCCCUAGAUGUCCAGGGCCACACCCCUUCCUCUUGAGGCUCAAAUUCUCACCGGGCCCUGGGCUGCAGAGCAGAGUGCUGCUUGCAAGGGAUAGAACAAGACUGGCAGUGUUUCUCCGAACUGCUGUAGACCUGGGUAGAAAAGCAUGUUUAGAAACCGGAAGGAAGAGUAACUAUGCUCUCACAAAAUGCGGGCUCCUGGUUGAGGGCGACCUCUGCCCUCUGUUCUGCUCCCAGCAGUGGACUGCGAAAACCCACGCUGCUGGCAGGAGAUGAAAGGGGAUCUUUCAACAUUUCCACCCAUUGUCUGCACUUUCUCCCUGCUUGGUCACCCUCAGAUUUGUUAUGGAAUUGCGUUACUGUGGGGCUUUCCCUGCCCCCAGAAACAACUCUGAGAGAAGAGCCAGCAGCUGAGUAAAUUUGCGUUCCAGAGAGGAGAACACAGAAGCACAUGACGAAGUGAAGCCGGCCUGGGGAAGCUUUAAGAUGGCUGCAUGAAAGACGCAGGAAAACUAAAUUGGAAACUUGGAGCACUUAGCAGCUCCACCUAACCAAUGAGGAAUUGUAGUUCUUAGCACCGAUGUGGCAGAGUUAGUUCAGAAAAUGUGGAGCUAUAGAAGAAACAGAGAGAGGGAGGAAGGAAAGAAGAAAUGAAUGAACUGACUCCACAGUUGCUUGCUAAGUGCCUGAAAUGAGCCCAGCUCUGUUGCGUAAUGAAUAACACAGGCUACACACAUUCAGGUGCGCACGCAUGUGUUUGUGUGUGUGUGUGUGUGUGUGUGUGUGUAUGCUGAGGAAUUGCCGGUGAGUGUCCAUGGAGGACAAAUCAGAGAGUGUCCAUCUUGACCAGCUUCUUAAGAAUCUUCUUAAGAUUCUAGAGGAAAGACAAGAAAGGACCUGCUUCAAUGCCCAACUGAGCUGGGUGGUGGUAGUUAGAGG